GAUGAACGCUGGCGGCGUGCCUAAUACAUGCAAGUCGAGCGAACGGACGAGAAGCUUGCUUCUCUGAUGUUAGCGGCGGACGGGUGAGUAACACGUGGAUAACCUACCUAUAAGACUGGGAUAACUUCGGGAAACCGGAGCUAAUACCGGAUAAUAUUUUGAACCGCAUGGUUCAAAAGUGAAAGACGGUCUUGCUGUCACUUAUAGAUGGAUCCGCGCUGCAUUAGCUAGUUGGUAAGGUAACGGCUUACCAAGGCAACGAUGCAUAGCCGAGCUGAGAGGGUGAUCGGCCACACGGGAACUGAGACACGGUCCAGACUCCUACGGGAGGCAGCAGUAGGGAAUCUUCCGCAAUGGGCGAAAGCCUGACGGAGCAACGCCGCGUGAGUGAUGAAGGUCUUCGGAUCGUAAAACUCUGUUAUUAGGGAAGAACAUAUGUGUAAGUAACUGUGCACAUCUUGACGGUACCUAAUCAGAAAGCCACGGCUAACUACGUG
Molecule: ribosomal RNA, 497 nt
Filed under: uncultured bacterium
Lineage: Bacteria
Description: partial 16S ribosomal RNA
Rfam family: Bacterial small subunit ribosomal RNA
Source: RNAcentral